This 512-nucleotide long non-coding RNA is filed under the name Gallus gallus (chicken). Its description in RNAcentral is "long non-coding RNA NONGGAT001117". The record is from RNAcentral. Lineage: Eukaryota; Metazoa; Chordata; Aves; Galliformes; Phasianidae.
GGAAAAUGCAACAUUCUUGUUUGAUCUUUGUAUCUCUGUGAAAGGGAGUGUGCCAUUAAAAAAAAAAAAAAAAAGGUAUCAUUGUUUAUCAAAAUAAGCCUGGGAAUUAAAGGUAUCUGGCUGACAGUUUAACAUAUUUCUUUUUGCAGUUAAAAUAGCCCUCCUGACAGAGGCUAAAUAGUAUAAGAAAUAAUCAACCGCCUUCACCUGGGAAAAAGUCUGAACCUAGUUAUCUCUUUCUCUGUUUCCUUCCCCUAGCCAGUUCUCUGAUGGGGACUUGACAAGUAACAUCAAACAUGGCCCAAGAACAAAGCUAACCAACCACGGCCUGAAGCAUCCUUCAACCAAAAGUCACCUUUAGUCAAGCUUUGCCAUCUAAUUUGCAGUGUUUCUGUUUGUACUCUUCAGGCAGAAGAACUAAAACUCUUACAGUGUAAAGCUCUCUUGGUUUCUGCUCAGUAAGAUUACAUUGAGGAUGCUGCAACUAUUUAACACUUUUAGCAACCUUUGGC